RNAcentral lists this ribosomal RNA (207 nucleotides) under uncultured bacterium. RNAcentral describes it as "partial 16S ribosomal RNA". It matches the Rfam family "Bacterial small subunit ribosomal RNA", at positions 568 to 774 of the family's 1533-position model. The record is from RNAcentral.
CGCGUAGGCGGACCAUUAAGUCGGAUGUGAAAACUGUCGGCUCAACUGAUAGCCUGCAUUCGAUACUGAUGGCCUUGAGUACGGGAGAGGAGAGUGGAAUUCCAGGUGUAGCGGUGAAAUGCGUAGAUAUCUGGAAGAACACCAGUAGCGAAGGCGGCUCUCUGGACCGAUACUGACGCUCAAGCGCGAAGGCUUGGGGAGCAAACA